This 492-nucleotide ribosomal RNA is filed under the name uncultured bacterium. Its description in RNAcentral is "partial 16S ribosomal RNA". It matches the Rfam family "Bacterial small subunit ribosomal RNA", at positions 29 to 507 of the family's 1533-position model. The record is from RNAcentral.
AGUGAACGCUGGCGGUAGGCCUAACACAUGCAAGUCGAACGGCAGCACGGUAAGAGCUUGCUCUUACGGGUGGCGAGUGGCGGACGGGUGAGGAAUACAUCGGAAUCUACUUUUUCGUGGGGGAUAACGUAGGGAAACUUACGCUAAUACCGCAUACGACCUACGGGUGAAAGCAGGGGAUCUUCGCACCUUGCGCGAUUCAAUGAGCCGAUGUCGGAUUAGCUAGUUGGCGGGGUAAAGGCCCACCAAGGCGACGAUCCGUAGCUGGUCUGAGAGGAUGAUCAGCCACACUGGAACUGAGACACGGUCCAGACUCCUACGGGAGGCAGCAGUGGGGAAUAUUGGACAAUGGGCGCAAGCCUGAUCCAGCCAUACCGCGUGGGUGAAGAAGGCCUUCGGGUUGUAAAGCCCUUUUGUUGGGAAAGAAAAGCAGCAGGUGAAUACCCCGCUGUUCUGACGGUACCCAAAGAAUAAGCACCGGCUAACUUCGUG